RNAcentral lists this long non-coding RNA (345 nucleotides) under Homo sapiens (human). RNAcentral's name for it is "non-protein coding lnc-PCDH11Y-1:1". Lineage: Eukaryota; Metazoa; Chordata; Mammalia; Primates; Hominidae. The record is from RNAcentral.
UUUUGUGAUUCUUCAGUUACUUCAGGCCAUCUGGGCAUAUAUGUGCAAGUGACAGGGGAUGCGAUGGCUUGGCUUGGGCUCAGAGGCCUGACAUUCCUGCCUUCUUAUAUUAAUAAGAAAAAUAAAACAAAAUAGUGUUGAAGUGUUGGGGUGGCAAAAAUUUUGGGGGGGUGGUAUGGAGAGAGAGUGGACGAUGUUUCUCAGGGCUGCUUCAAGCGGGAUUAGGUGCUGUGUGGGAACCUAGAGUGGGAGAGAUUAAGCUGAAGGGAGUUCUUGUGUGCUGGAUAUGUGGCUGGGGUUUGUCUCACAGUGGAGGCAAGGAAUUGCAACUUUUUUAUGUUAUUG